This 357-nucleotide ribosomal RNA is filed under the name uncultured bacterium. Its description in RNAcentral is "bacterial SSU rRNA". It matches the Rfam family "Bacterial small subunit ribosomal RNA", at positions 29 to 414 of the family's 1533-position model. The record is from RNAcentral.
AACGAACGCUGGCGGCAGGCCUAACACAUGCAAGUCGAACGGGCGUAGCAAUACGUCAGUGGCGGACGGGUGAGUAACACGUGGGAAUAUGCCUUUCGGUUCGGAACAACUCGGGGAAACCCGCGCUAAUUCCGGAUACGCCCUUACGGGAAGAUUAUCGCCGAAAGAUUAGCCCGCGUCCGAUUAGCUAGUUGGUGAGGUAAAGGCUCACCAAGGCACCGAUCGGUAGCUGGUUUGAGAGAACGACCAGCCACACUGGGACUGAGACACGGCCCAGACUCCUACGGGAGGCAGCAGUGGGGAAUCUUGGACAAUGGGCGCAAGCCUGAUCCAGCCAUGCCGCGUGAGUGAUGAAGG